This 1380-nucleotide long non-coding RNA is filed under the name Carassius auratus (goldfish). RNAcentral describes it as "lncRNA (ENSCARG00000050760.1)". Lineage: Eukaryota; Metazoa; Chordata; Actinopteri; Cypriniformes; Cyprinidae. The record is from RNAcentral.
GGCAUUAAUAUGUUCUUAAUUAGCACUAUUACAUGGCUAAUAAUCUAGUAAUAUGCAUUCUAAUAAGCAACUAAUAUCUGUUACCUAUUCUAAAGUAUUACCUAUACUUUAAAUAUGAAACUAAAACUGCCAGCUGAUGGGAAAUCACUGUCCCAAUGAAUAACUGAAUUAUUAAUUCAACCAAUUUGUUCAGAACAGCUGAAUAAUUCAGGAACAAAGCAAGUGAAUGGGCCACUGAAUCACUGACUCAGUUGAUCUGGUCAAAAAAUGCUGAAUUAUUCAGGAACAAAACACUACACAGUGAAUUGGAGAGGUGUAUAUUUAAUUUGGUUUUUAUAACGGAAUAGAGCAAAAACACUUGGUACUGACAUAUUGUGUCUGAAAUGUGUCACUUCAUAGUAACUUAAACAUCGCAUAUUUAAGCAAUUAAUUGUAUGCAAUUGCAUAAAGUGUUACAUAAUGAUUAUCUUAAAAGUAGGACAAAUGGGGGUCCAGCUGAAUGCUGCAAAGGAAGACAGAAAAAGACAGUAAGAAAACGAGAUGAGCUCAGUGAACUAUUCCUCCUUUGGGAAUCAGAUCCAGGACUAGAACUGGAGGAGUUUCUGUAACAGCAUCACACACAACACAACAGUACAGUAUAGUAACAGUAUGGACACAGGAUAGAUCGAGCAGCAGAGAGAAGAGGAACUGAAUGAGAGAGAGAGGCAGAGCUGAUUUAUAGCUGGUCAGCUGUGAUCUGCUCAUUCUGGCCAUCGUGAAGAUGAUCUCACCAACCGUUCUAAGUCCGUCAUCAGACACAGAGGAUGUUUGGUAAUAGUUCAAUCCAAUGUGUUUCCACUGAGCAUUACAUUAAUGUGGAACUGAACAACAACAUAUGGAUCUGGGAGAGUAUUCCUGUUACACACAGUGUUGGGGAGUAACCAGAAAAGGGAGUUACAUAGGAAUAUUUUCACACAAAUAAAGAUUUAACUUACUUCUUUCACAAAUUGUACUGACUGCGGUUGCACUUUAUUUUACAGUAUGUGUACUUACAGUGUAUUUAUCUAAGAAAGUUCUGGUAACACAAGGUAACUACAUGGGGUAAGGUUAGGUUUAGGGGUAGGUUCAGGGUAAGUAGGCUACUUAGUUAUUACAUAGUUAUUGUAAUUAAUAUAAUAAGUUCAUAAUAUGUACAUGAAGAACAGGACUGUAAAAUAAAAUGCUACCCUGACCGCUUUAAAAUAUGAGACACCAGUGUUUCAAGAGUUCAGGUCACAUGCUUAUUCCAUUACUCCUUUAUUUCAUAUUUGUGUUUUAUGUGCUUUAUUUGUUUCCGAUUAACUGUUUUUAUCCAAGGCAUUAUUAGUUACCAGGGUUUCCAGCUAUGCAAAAAUUUGAUUA